Molecule: transfer RNA, 65 nt
Filed under: Cyathocotyle prussica
Lineage: Eukaryota; Metazoa; Platyhelminthes; Trematoda; Diplostomida; Cyathocotylidae
Description: tRNA-Tyr
Source: RNAcentral
AUCGGCUUAGUACAAAAGAUUAGUGCGUGGGAUUGUAAAUCCUGAGAUGGUUAGACCAGCCGGGA